AUAUUUUUUUUUUUGGCUCAAAGGAAGCUGCAUGUAAGCUACGUGUGACAACAUGGAGUUAAAAAAAUAAAUUGUUACCCUUUAAAUUUUGAAUGUCAAAUCUAUUUAGAAGUUUGAUUGUAGGUACCUCGUUCACGUCUUGGUUACAUUCCACCUAGUGUUUACUAAUUAUUGUCCUUUUUAUAAAUUUUCUUCUUAAAAAUCUUAUUAUGGUAAGGAUAAUGUAUUUGUUCCCUUCAGGUAUCUGCCACUGCAGCUGACGUUGAGACAACUCUCAGUCUUCCUGCAAGUCCUCGCCUGAUACCUGUUUCAAGUGCAACAAGGCAAGUCACAAUUAAGGGUUGGAUGAUCACCUUUAAGGGCUCUGAGGGCAUCACACCAACAUUUGCAAUUGGACUUGCUGCUAUGUUUGCAACCUACUACAUUUUCAGCCUUCAGUAUCAAGAUGAGACAGCCUGCCCUCUGGAAUUCAUUCAGAGGCACUUCAUUGAUAUAAAUCAAGAGAGAGGAACAAAUGCCAAAAUCAUCAGACAAGAUUGUCUCUAAGAAGAAAGGUGUGAUCGUCCAGAAGUCGUCUUCUGCAGUUAAAUACACACGUGGCCAUGCUACUGAAGAAUCUCCUUGACUUUUUAAUGGAACUUUAUAUAGAUCGUGACAGCACUGGAAUAAUGCUGCAGAGAGGAACAGCGGCUACUAAAGUGAUGAUCGUCUCUUCUGGAUCCACAAGAACUAAGAUAUAAAAACACAAACCUACCUCACAGGACAAUUUUAAGAGGUAACCUGCAAGUCUAGCUUGCAGUGGCACAUGUGCCUAUACGGUUUCAUCCUAAAUGUUUUUUAUGCUUAUUAUUGAUACAUCCUGACAAAAUGUUCUACUGUACUAUAAUAGUUUCAAAAUGGCCUUAGGUAUGUUUUCAAAAAGUAAACUAUAGGUUAUGCCCUUCACAUUUGGUAAGGAUCAUGGG
Long non-coding RNA from Paramisgurnus dabryanus, 965 nucleotides. RefSeq lists it as uncharacterized. Lineage: Eukaryota; Metazoa; Chordata; Actinopteri; Cypriniformes; Cobitidae. The record is from RefSeq and is a predicted model, not a curated record.